This 136-nucleotide ribosomal RNA is filed under the name Subuliphorum camptosporum. Its description in RNAcentral is "Acremonium camptosporum partial large subunit ribosomal RNA". The record is from RNAcentral. Lineage: Eukaryota; Fungi; Ascomycota; Sordariomycetes; Hypocreales; Chlorocilliaceae.
AAGCGCUCAUGACCAGACUUGGGCCCGGUGAAUCAUCCAGCGUUCUCGCUGGUGCACUUUGCCGGGCACAGGCCAGCAUCAGUUUGCCGCGGGGGAUAAAGGCUUCGGGAACGUGGCUCCCUCGGGAGUGUUAUAG